This 245-nucleotide ribosomal RNA is filed under the name uncultured bacterium. RNAcentral's name for it is "partial 16S ribosomal RNA". It matches the Rfam family "Bacterial small subunit ribosomal RNA", at positions 524 to 768 of the family's 1533-position model. The record is from RNAcentral.
UACGAAGGGGGCUAGCGUUGUUCGGAAUUACUGGGCGUAAAGCGUGCGCAGGCGGCUUCUCAAGUCAGUGGUGAAAGCCCGGAGCUCAACUCCGGAAUUGCCAUUGAAACUGUGAGGCUUGAGGACGAGAGAGGUGAGUGGAAUUCCCAGUGUAGAGGUGAAAUUCGUAGAUAUUGGGAAGAACACCAGUGGCGAAGGCGGCUCACUGGCUCGUUUCUGACGCUCAUGCACGAUAGCGUGGGGAU